UGGGGAAUUUUGCACAAUGGGGGAAACCCUGAUGCAGCGACGCCGCGUGAUUUAGAAGGCCUUCGGGUUGUAAAAAUCUUUUGUAUGGGAAGAAAAUGACAGUACCAUACGAAUAAGGACCGGCUAAUUCCGUGCCAGCAGCCGCGGUAAUACGGAAGGUUCGGGCGUUAUCCGGAUUUAUUGGGUUUAAAGGGAGCGUAGGCCGUUUGGUAAGCGUGUUGUGAAAUGUAGGAGCUCAACUUCUAGAUUGCAGCGCGAACUGUCAGACUUGAGUGCGCACAACGUAGGCGGAAUUCAUGGUGUAGCGGUGAAAUGCUUAGAUAUCAUGACGAACUCCGAUUGCGAAGGCAGCUUACGGGAGCGCAACUGACGCUAAAGCUCGAAGGUGCGGGUAUCGAACAGG
RNAcentral lists this ribosomal RNA (403 nucleotides) under Verrucomicrobiota bacterium. RNAcentral's name for it is "Verrucomicrobia bacterium partial 16S ribosomal RNA". It matches the Rfam family "Bacterial small subunit ribosomal RNA", at positions 355 to 776 of the family's 1533-position model. The record is from RNAcentral. Lineage: Bacteria; Pseudomonadati; Verrucomicrobiota.